Molecule: non-coding RNA, 707 nt
Organism: Phoenix dactylifera (date palm)
Lineage: Eukaryota; Viridiplantae; Streptophyta; Magnoliopsida; Arecales; Arecaceae
Source: RefSeq, a predicted model, not a curated record
CUGGUUCUCUUCCCCUGUUCCACUUACCAUCCGAUCUUUCAUCCUUGAGGGUUUUGAGGUUCUUCGGUUCUUCCAUCCACCGAUCACUAUAGGUACUCCAUGAGUCUGUCCAUCUCUAUUCUCUUCUCUAGCAACUUCUUCUCUGGUUCUCCGCCACAUUCCAUCUAGUCUUUGAGGGUUUUGAGGUUCUUCAGUUCUUCCAUCCACCGACCCCCGUUCCUUAGGGUUUCCAGGUUUUCUUCUAUUGACUAAACUACUAGCCUACCCAUUCACACCUUUGCCGCUUCCAUCAACUGAUCAACCAACUCCGAGCGGUGAGAGCCUGAAAUCUUGCUGCAUGGGAAAGAUUGACCUCUAAGGCUCUAAAUCCCUCUAGAUCGACAGACUCCGAGCUUCUUUCCUCAACGAUCUAGUCUUCCUCAAACCCUAACUCCCUCAAAAGUUAAAACCUCCAUCAGCUUCUUCAAGAUACCUCAUCUCAAAGACUAAAACCCUUUCUAUUCCGAUUUCUCUCCUCUGUCUCUUGAUUUUCCAUCCUUUCAGCAAGAACUAGAGAAUCUCCAAGGAAGAGAAGAAGAAGAUGCACGUGUGGUGUGGAUCCCUCUGCGAAGAAAGACUGGUAAGACCGUAAGAGUGGUGCUGCAGCAGCCACUGUGGCUCCUUCCAUUUCCACUGCCCUGCAGCCCAAAAAACCAAAAGAAAAAGCU